This 204-nucleotide ribosomal RNA is filed under the name Laevicardium crassum. RNAcentral describes it as "partial 16S ribosomal RNA". It matches the Rfam family "Bacterial large subunit ribosomal RNA", at positions 2077 to 2534 of the family's 2925-position model. Lineage: Eukaryota; Metazoa; Mollusca; Bivalvia; Cardiida; Cardiidae. The record is from RNAcentral.
AAGACGAGAAGACCCCGUCGAGCUUGAUGAUCUUAUUAAGUUUUAAUUUGUAAAGUUUUGUUGGGGCAACAAGGGAGAAUUAUAACCUCCCGUAUUAGGCAUAGAUCCUCUGGUAGAGAUAAAAGGAAAAAGUUACCGCGGGGAUAACAGCGCAAAACCACCUGAGAGCUCGUAUUGAAGGUGGUACAUGCGACCUCGAUGUUG